RNAcentral lists this transfer RNA (71 nucleotides) under Beta vulgaris subsp. vulgaris (sugar beet). It matches the Rfam family "tRNA". From Rfam's summary of the family: Transfer RNA (tRNA) molecules are approximately 80 nucleotides in length. Their secondary structure includes four short double-helical elements and three loops (D, anti-codon, and T loops). Lineage: Eukaryota; Viridiplantae; Streptophyta; Magnoliopsida; Caryophyllales; Amaranthaceae. The record is from Rfam by way of RNAcentral.
GUCGGGUUAAUUUAAUAGUAGAAUACUCCCCUGAUAAGGGAGAUACGGUGGAGCGUAACCAUCACUCGAUA